This 2919-nucleotide ribosomal RNA is filed under the name Staphylococcus aureus. RNAcentral describes it as "23S ribosomal RNA". It matches the Rfam family "Bacterial large subunit ribosomal RNA". The record is from RNAcentral. Lineage: Bacteria; Bacillati; Bacillota; Bacilli; Caryophanales; Staphylococcaceae.
GAUUAAGUUAUUAAGGGCGCACGGUGGAUGCCUUGGCACUAGAAGCCGAUGAAGGACGUUACUAACGACGAUAUGCUUUGGGGAGCUGUAAGUAAGCUUUGAUCCAGAGAUUUCCGAAUGGGGAAACCCAGCAUGAGUUAUGUCAUGUUAUCGAUAUGUGAAUACAUAGCAUAUCAGAAGGCACACCCGGAGAACUGAAACAUCUUAGUACCCGGAGGAAGAGAAAGAAAAUUCGAUUCCCUUAGUAGCGGCGAGCGAAACGGGAAGAGCCCAAACCAAAAAGCUUGCUUGUUGGGGUUGUAGGACACUCUAUACGGAGUUACAAAGGACGACAUUAGACGAAUCAUCUGGAAAGAUGAAUCAAAGAAGGUAAUAAUCCUGUAGUCGAAAAUGUUGUCUCUCUUGAGUGGAUCCUGAGUACGACGGAGCACGUGAAAUUCCGUCGGAAUCUGGGAGGACCAUCUCCUAAGGCUAAAUACUCUCUAGUGACCGAUAGUGAACCAGUACCGUGAGGGAAAGGUGAAAAGCACCCCGGAAGGAGAGUGAAAUAGAACCUGAAACCGUGUGCUUACAAGUAGUCAGAGCCCGUUAAUGGGUGAUGGCGUGCCUUUUGUAGAAUGAACCGGCGAGUUACGAUUUGAUGCAAGGUUAAGCAGUAAAUGUGGAGCCGUAGCGAAAGCGAGUCUGAAUAGGGCGUUUAGUAUUUGGUCGUAGACCCGAAACCAGGUGAUCUACCCUUGGUCAGGUUGAAGUUCAGGUAACACUGAAUGGAGGACCGAACCGACUUACGUUGAAAAGUGAGCGGAUGAACUGAGGGUAGCGGAGAAAUUCCAAUCGAACCUGGAGAUAGCUGGUUCUCUCCGAAAUAGCUUUAGGGCUAGCCUCAAGUGAUGAUUAUUGGAGGUAGAGCACUGUUUGGACGAGGGCCCCUCUCGGGUUACCGAAUUCAGACAAACUCCGAAUGCCAAUUAAUUUAACUUGGGAGUCAGAACAUGGGUGAUAAGGUCCGUGUUCGAAAGGGAAACAGCCCAGACCACCAGCUAAGGUCCCAAAAUAUAUGUUAAGUGGAAAAGGAUGUGGCGUUGCCCAGACAACUAGGAUGUUGGCUUAGAAGCAGCCAUCAUUUAAAGAGUGCGUAAUAGCUCACUAGUCGAGUGACACUGCGCCGAAAAUGUACCGGGGCUAAACAUAUUACCGAAGCUGUGGAUUGUCCUUUGGACAAUGGUAGGAGAGCGUUCUAAGGGCGUUGAAGCAUGAUCGUAAGGACAUGUGGAGCGCUUAGAAGUGAGAAUGCCGGUGUGAGUAGCGAAAGACGGGUGAGAAUCCCGUCCACCGAUUGACUAAGGUUUCCAGAGGAAGGCUCGUCCGCUCUGGGUUAGUCGGGUCCUAAGCUGAGGCCGACAGGCGUAGGCGAUGGAUAACAGGUUGAUAUUCCUGUACCACCUAUAAUCGUUUUAAUCGAUGGGGGACGCAGUAGGAUAGGCGAAGCGUGCGAUUGGAUUGCACGUCUAAGCAGUAAGGCUGAGUAUUAGGCAAAUCCGGUACUCGUUAAGGCUGAGCUGUGAUGGGGAGAAGACAUUGAGUCUUCGAGUCGUUGAUUUCACACUGCCGAGAAAAGCCUCUAGAUAGAAAAUAGGUGCCCGUACCGCAAACCGACACAGGUAGUCAAGAUGAGAAUUCUAAGGUGAGCGAGCGAACUCUCGUUAAGGAACUCGGCAAAAUGACCCCGUAACUUCGGGAGAAGGGGUGCUCUUUAGGGUUAACGCCCAGAAGAGCCGCAGUGAAUAGGCCCAAGCGACUGUUUAUCAAAAACACAGGUCUCUGCUAAACCGUAAGGUGAUGUAUAGGGGCUGACGCCUGCCCGGUGCUGGAAGGUUAAGAGGAGUGGUUAGCUUCUGCGAAGCUACGAAUCGAAGCCCCAGUAAACGGCGGCCGUAACUAUAACGGUCCUAAGGUAGCGAAAUUCCUUGUCGGGUAAGUUCCGACCCGCACGAAAGGCGUAACGAUUUGGGCACUGUCUCAACGAGAGACUCGGUGAAAUCAUAGUACCUGUGAAGAUGCAGGUUACCCGCGACAGGACGGAAAGACCCCGUGGAGCUUUACUGUAGCCUGAUAUUGAAAUUCGGCACAGCUUGUACAGGAUAGGUAGGAGCCUUUGAAACGUGAGCGCUAGCUUACGUGGAGGCGCUGGUGGGAUACUACCCUAGCUGUGUUGGCUUUCUAACCCGCACCACUUAUCGUGGUGGGAGACAGUGUCAGGCGGGCAGUUUGACUGGGGCGGUCGCCUCCUAAAAGGUAACGGAGGCGCUCAAAGGUUCCCUCAGAAUGGUUGGAAAUCAUUCAUGAGUGUAAAGGCAUAAGGGAGCUUGACUGCGAGACCUACAAGUCGAGCAGGGUCGAAAGACGGACUUAGUGAUCCGGUGGUUCCGCAUGGAAGGGCCAUCGCUCAACGGAUAAAAGCUACCCCGGGGAUAACAGGCUUAUCUCCCCAAGAGUUCACAUCGACGGGGAGGUUUGGCACCUCGAUGUCGGCUCAUCGCAUCCUGGGGCUGUAGUCGGUCCCAAGGGUUGGGCUGUUCGCCCAUUAAAGCGGUACGCGAGCUGGGUUCAGAACGUCGUGAGACAGUUCGGUCCCUAUCCGUCGUGGGCGUAGGAAAUUUGAGAGGAGCUGUCCUUAGUACGAGAGGACCGGGAUGGACAUACCUCUGGUGUACCAGUUGUCGUGCCAACGGCAUAGCUGGGUAGCUAUGUGUGGACGGGAUAAGUGCUGAAAGCAUCUAAGCAUGAAGCCCCCCUCAAGAUGAGAUUUCCCAACUUCGGUUAUAAGAUCCCUCAAAGAUGAUGAGGUUAAUAGGUUCGAGGUGGAAGCAUGGUGACAUGUGGAGCUGACGAAUACUAAUCGAUCGAAGACUUAAUCAA